AUUUAUUCCGACAUUGAUUAUAAAGCCAAUUGUUAUCUAUUGUGACAAAAAAAUACUUGGGGAAGAUUUAGUGUUGGGAAUGCUUAAGUUUAUUAUUAUAAUUAAAUUUAAUUAGACAAAUAUAAGAAUUUAAACAUAUUUAACCGAAGCCUCUCGUUUCUUUGUUUCGUGCAGCUCUCAGCUCACAUUAUUCUCACGCACCCCACUGGUUUAUCAUCCAAAAUAAUAUUUUGGAGAGUCUCUUCUUUAUCCUUGGUUCAACAAUGGAUUUUGUUUGGGGGUGAUAUUGUAGUCAUUUUGCAGAAAUAUAUUGCCUUUGGAAGUUGGUUUUGAUGAGUUGGACUUUAUUGUAUGGAGUUAUCAACUUUUUAUUUCAUGAGACUUUGUUAUGAACAUUAUUUUAUAUGGACUUUAUUAUAUAUGUACGAGACUUUGAA
Long non-coding RNA from Humulus lupulus (European hop), 437 nucleotides. RefSeq lists it as uncharacterized. The transcript is spliced from 2 exons. Lineage: Eukaryota; Viridiplantae; Streptophyta; Magnoliopsida; Rosales; Cannabaceae. The record is from RefSeq and is a predicted model, not a curated record.